CUGCACGUACUCUCCCGGGCUUCUCUGAGUCUCUACCUAUGAAGAAAAAAGCCCCAAAAGUCGUGCUAAAGCCAUGCCGUUUUACGUGUUGCAGUAUAGCCUUUACUUUUCCACCGGCUCUUCUGUGUCAAAUCAGCGGCUAUAUCU
RNAcentral lists this small nucleolar RNA (147 nucleotides) under Theobroma cacao (cacao). Its description in RNAcentral is "snoRNA snoR134". It matches the Rfam family "small nucleolar RNA snoR134". The record is from Rfam by way of RNAcentral. Lineage: Eukaryota; Viridiplantae; Streptophyta; Magnoliopsida; Malvales; Malvaceae.